This 253-nucleotide ribosomal RNA is filed under the name uncultured bacterium. RNAcentral describes it as "partial 16S ribosomal RNA". It matches the Rfam family "Bacterial small subunit ribosomal RNA", at positions 524 to 776 of the family's 1533-position model. The record is from RNAcentral.
CACGUAGGGCGCAAGCGUUGUCCGGAAUUAUUGGGCGUAAAGAGCUCGUAGGCGGACUGUCACGUCUGCUGUGAAAAGCUGGGGCUUAACCCUGGCCUUGCAGUGGAUACGGGCAGACUAGAGGUAGGUAGGGGAGAAUGGAAUUCCCGGUGUAGCGGUGAAAUGCGCAGAUAUCAGGAGGAACACCAAUGGCGAAGGCAGCACUCUGGGACGUGACUGACGCUGAGACGCGAAAGCGUGGGGAGCAAACAGG